UUCCUGCUCCCCAAUUCCUGCCCCCCAUUUCUGCCCCCCAUUUCUGCCCCAGCUCUGCCUCAAGGCCCUUCGGGUGCUGCCGCAGCCGCCCCCCCCCGGGGGGGUCCCCGAGUGCCGCCUGAGGGUGACACUGACCCCACUGCGCCUUCACAUCGACCAGGAUGCGCUGAUCUUCCUCAGGGAUUUCGCCGCCGCCUUCCUCGCCCACCUGAGCCCCCCCCCGGGACCCCCCCCGGGACCCCCGCCCGGUACCGGGGGUGGGGGGAGGGGCUCCGGGGGGGGAGGGGCUCCAGGGGGGGGAGGGGCUCCCGGCUUUGGGGGUCCCCUCACUGUUCCCCUCCCCCCCCCUCCUCCUGCAGCCCCCCCCGGGAUCGGGGACCCCCCCCGGCCGGAGCCGCCCCCGGAGCGGGACCCCCAAACGGAGACACCCCCGAUCUACUUCCGCGAGUUCCGUUUCAUGGCCGAUGUCCCCGUCUGGUUGGAUUACCGCGGCAAGCGCGUCACCAUGGAGCAGGGCGCCCUGGCCGGGAUCCUGAUCGGACUGGCGCGGCUGAACUGCUCCGAACUGCGGCUGAAACGGCUCUGCCACCGCCAGGGGUGGGACACGGGGGGACACUGGGGACAGGGAGGGACAAUGGGGACAGUGGGGGGGCACAGGGGACAGUGGGGGGACAUGGGGGAGACCAGGGACAC
RNAcentral lists this long non-coding RNA (693 nucleotides) under Taeniopygia guttata (zebra finch). RNAcentral describes it as "lncRNA (ENSTGUG00000029050.1)". The record is from RNAcentral. Lineage: Eukaryota; Metazoa; Chordata; Aves; Passeriformes; Estrildidae.